CUCCGGCCCAUUACCAUGCAGAAUUCAUUCUCGACCUUUUAAAAGUACCCUCUGUUUAGACGGAAUCUCUCAUUUAAGAAUCCGAGACAGAAAUUGAUUCAUUUCCAAUUUAAAUUUGGGGAAGAUAAACGUUAUUAGUUUCCUAAAUAAAAACAAACUAUUUCCAGGCAAUUCUAUAACCGUUUAUCCUCAUACAUAGAUUUUGCACUUCGUCUUAACCUUAUCGAGUGGAAACGAGCAGAGUGAAUUUAGUUCAAACUGAACUCACAUUAAACCAUCGUCUUCAACCUUAAAUAAAAUCAUAUGGUGCAAUAUCUAGUUUUUUUAGAGUAAGGACUCAAUAAUAACGAAUCCAUAUCGAGAUGAAGCCUGGGAAAAAAUGUCCAACGUGGUCGAAAACGUUUAAAUCCGUUAGCGACUUGAGCAGACACGUCGUCACGCACGACCCGGAUGGGAAAGUGAAGUGCGAGGCUUGCGGCAUGAUUUCCAAAAACAGCAUCGCCCUAGCUUCCCAUGUGAGGAGACUCCACACAAAUUCCAAGCGUCCCAGUUGCGACACUUGCCAACGGGUGUUCUGCAGCCUUGCCAGUCUACGGCGGCAUACUGACACCGUCCACAUCUCGAAGGAACGGCCCCGUCUUCCAUGUACGUUUCCCGGCUGCGAGAAAUCUUACCUGAGCAAGGGCGACCUUGUGAGACACGUGAAAACUGACAGGCUUUGAUUAGUUCAAUUUAAUACCGAUCGAUGGAUUAAAUCAUCAUGCUCGUGUCCAAUUUUCUUACAAAUUUAUGUAUGCAUGUAAGCACUUAAUCGGUAUCGCGAUUAUAAACAAACUAUACGAAACCUGCCCA
Molecule: long non-coding RNA, 852 nt
Organism: Folsomia candida
Lineage: Eukaryota; Metazoa; Arthropoda; Collembola; Entomobryomorpha; Isotomidae
Exons: 2
Source: RefSeq, a predicted model, not a curated record